CUGCGAAUGGCUCAUUAUAUCAGUUAUAGUUUAUUUGAUGAAAAGUACUACUUGGAUAACCGUAGUAAUUCUAGAGCUAAUACAUGAUAAAAUCCUCGACUUUGAAGAGGUGUAUUUAUUAGAAUGAAACCAAUAGACUUCGGUCUGUUUGUGAGUAAUAAUAACUAAUCGUAUCGCAUGCUUAGGUAGCGAUAUGUCUUUCAAGUUUCUGCCCUAUCAGCUUUGGAUGGUAGUGUAUUGGACUACCAUGGCAGUAACGGGUAACGAAGAAUUUGGGUUCGAUUUCGGAGAGGGAGCCUGAGAGAUGGCUACCACAUCCAAGGAAGGCAGCAGGCGCGUAAAUUACCCAAUCCUGACAUAGGGAGGUAGUGACAAUAAAUCACAAUGCGGAACUAUUAGUUUUGCAAUUGGAUUGAGAACAAUGUACAAAUGUUAUCGAUAAACAAUUGGAGGGCAAGUCUGGUGCCAGCAGCCGCGGUAAUUCCAG
Molecule: ribosomal RNA, 487 nt
Filed under: Blastocystis hominis
Lineage: Eukaryota; Bigyra; Opalinata; Blastocystidae
Description: SSU rRNA
Rfam family: Eukaryotic small subunit ribosomal RNA
Source: RNAcentral